GCGGGCGUAGUUCAGUGGCAGAACGUCUGCUUGCCAAGCAGAAGGUCGUGGGUUCGAAUCCCAUCGCCCGCU
RNAcentral lists this transfer RNA (72 nucleotides) under Anaerolineae bacterium. Its description in RNAcentral is "tRNA-Gly". It matches the Rfam family "tRNA". Rfam says of the family: Transfer RNA (tRNA) molecules are approximately 80 nucleotides in length. Their secondary structure includes four short double-helical elements and three loops (D, anti-codon, and T loops). Further hydrogen bonds mediate the characteristic L-shaped molecular structure. tRNAs have two regions of fundamental functional importance: the anti-codon, which is responsible for specific mRNA codon recognition, and the 3' end, to which the tRNAs corresponding amino acid is attached (by aminoacyl-tRNA synthetases). tRNAs cope with the degeneracy of the genetic code in two manners: having more than one tRNA (with a specific anti-codon) for a particular amino acid; and 'wobble' base-pairing, i.e. permitting non-standard base-pairing at the 3rd anti-codon position. Lineage: Bacteria; Bacillati; Chloroflexota; Anaerolineae. The record is from RNAcentral.